UAGGGAAUCUUCGGCAAUGGGGGGGACCCUGACCGAGCAACGCCGCGUGAGUGAAGAAGGUUUUCGGAUCGUAAAGCUCUGUUGUUAAGGAAGAACGAGUGUGAGAAUGGAAAGUUCAUGCUGUGACGGUACUUAACCAGAAAGGGACGGCUAACUACGUGCCAGCAGCCGCGGUAAUACGUAGGUCCCGAGCGUUGUCCGGAUUUAUUGGGCGUAAAGCGAGCGCAGGCGGUUAGAAAAGUCUGAAGUGAAAGGCAGUGGCUCAACCAUUGUAGGCUUUGGAAACUGUUUAACUUGAGUGCAGAAGGGGAGAGUGGAAUUCCAUGUGUAGCGGUGAAAUGCGUAGAUAUAUGGAGGAACACCGGUGGCGAAAGCGGCUCUCUGGUCUGUAACUGACGCUGAGGCUCGAAAGCGUGGGGAGCGAACAGGAUUAGAUACCCUGGUAGUCCACGCCGUAAACGAUGAGUGCUAGGUGUUAGGUCCUUUCCGGGACUUGGUGCCGCAGCUAACGCAUUAAGCACUCCGCCUGGGGAGUACGACCGCAAGGUUG
This 550-nucleotide ribosomal RNA is filed under the name uncultured bacterium. RNAcentral's name for it is "bacterial SSU rRNA". It matches the Rfam family "Bacterial small subunit ribosomal RNA", at positions 355 to 896 of the family's 1533-position model. The record is from RNAcentral.